Phrynosoma platyrhinos (Desert horned lizard) is the source of this 72-nucleotide non-coding RNA. Lineage: Eukaryota; Metazoa; Chordata; Lepidosauria; Squamata; Phrynosomatidae. The record is from the annotation of a GenBank genome assembly.
GCCAACGUGGUGUAGUGGUUUCAGCAUUGGACUACGACUCUGUAGACCAGAGUUCGAAUCCCAGCUCUGCCA